UCUUGUAAAUUUAUUGACUAAGAUAAUGCAGAUUUAACUCAUUGACCAAGAUAAUAGACAGAAAAGCAAUGCCUAAGAAAUCAAUAUUUGACCAUCAUAGUUUAGCACUCGAGUAGCUCAUGCUUGAAAAUGAAAGAUACCAGGGGGGGCAUUAUAGCACACAUAUGCUAGCCACGAAUUUCUACGAAUUCGAAUGCAAUAGAGCAAGCAAACAUGUAUUUGGAGGAAAAGAAAAAACAGAGGCCUCUUGGACACGAGGGCAGUGAGGCCACAAAUUAAAGAGAUGCAUCCUCUUCUUCUUCCUUUUCUUCUUCUUGUUGUAGAUCACUCCGCCUUGCCUUCUGCGGCUGCAUUAAAUGGGAGCACGAAAACUUUUUUUAGCACAUGCUGCAUCAAUUCACACGAGGCAAAUCGAAUCUAAAUUCUAGUCCUACUCGUACAAGACAAAGAGAGGGCAUGGGCAUGCAUGCAAAGCCUGAUCCAAACUAAACCAACAGAGGCAUACUACCAGGCUAGUACUCUAUAUCCAUAUGCAUUCAAGUCAACUACUAGUAGUAUUAUUACUAGCUACUCGAGAGAGGGCUCCACACAAACAGUACAGAGAGAGAGAGAAAGACGAAGGUUGGGACGCACCUUGGUCGGCCUUGAGGUCCUCUGCCACCUCCACGGCCGUGGCACCGAUGACGGACUGCUUGAUGCGUGGAGCCACGCCGAUAGCGCACCCAAGCAUGAGCAUCCCGACCGCCAUCACCAUGCGGUGCGUGCUCGUGACCAGAUGAACUUUGG
Molecule: long non-coding RNA, 786 nt
Filed under: Triticum aestivum (bread wheat)
Lineage: Eukaryota; Viridiplantae; Streptophyta; Magnoliopsida; Poales; Poaceae
Description: long non-coding RNA (TAES_LNC005957)
Source: RNAcentral